RNAcentral lists this ribosomal RNA (483 nucleotides) under uncultured bacterium. RNAcentral's name for it is "bacterial SSU rRNA". It matches the Rfam family "Bacterial small subunit ribosomal RNA", at positions 48 to 524 of the family's 1533-position model. The record is from RNAcentral.
CUAACACAUGCAAGUCGAGCGGUAACAGGUGUAGCAAUACAUGCUGACGAGCGGCGAACGGGUGAGUAAUGCUUUGGAAUCUUCCCAGUAGUGGGGAAUAACCAGUCGAAAGAUUGGCUAAUACCGCAUACGUCUGUAAAGGGAAAGCGGGGGCUCGUAAGACCUCGCGCUAUUGGAUGAGCCAAAGUCGGAUUAGCUAGUUGGUGGGGUAAUGGCCUACCAAGGCGACAAUCCGUAGCUGGUCUGAGAGGACGACCAGCCACACCGGAACUGAGACACGGUCCGGACUCCUACGGGAGGCAGCAGUGGGGAAUAUUGGACAAUGGGGGAAACCCUGAUCCAGCGACGCCGCGUGUGUGAAGAAGGCCUGCGGGUUGUAAAGCACUUUUAGUGGGGACAAAAAGCUACGGAUUAAUACUCUGUGGUCUUGAUUUAACCCAAAGAAAAAGCACCGGCUAACUCUGUGCCAGCAGCCGCGGUAAU